AAGGUGGCACGGUAGUAUUUGCAUUCCAGAAUUUAGGUUGCUCUUUUGUGUACCCUACUUAGGUUAAUGUAUCCAAACAGUGUGAUUGGACAAAAAAUACAGUAUCAACUGAACAUACUUUCCCAAACUGAGGGAUGAAUCAGGUGUAGAAAAAUAUGAAAUAAUUUUACAUACAGAUGAAAAUGAAUUUUUGAGAAUUUUUUAAAAUUUUGUAUUCACUGCACCAUAAAAGACCUAAAAGUACUAGUGGCCUUAGGUUUUAAAAAUAGCAAAAAAAGUAAACGGUCAUGAUACAUAUUCAAAUUCAUUUCAGAAUAGUAAAAUGAAAGUACUUCAGUUAACUGUGAAUGUAGAAUUUUUUGCAGUGUUAGAAAGUGGUGAAAAUUCUAAAAAGGCUAUCAUUAUCUCUUAUGGGCCAGGAAAUACUACCGUGCCA
This 436-nucleotide long non-coding RNA is filed under the name Mytilus galloprovincialis (Mediterranean mussel). The record is from RNAcentral. Lineage: Eukaryota; Metazoa; Mollusca; Bivalvia; Mytilida; Mytilidae.